Non-coding RNA from Salvelinus sp. IW2-2015, 151 nucleotides. The record is from RefSeq and is a predicted model, not a curated record. Lineage: Eukaryota; Metazoa; Chordata; Actinopteri; Salmoniformes; Salmonidae.
AUGCCCACUCAGAUCACACCCUGACCAAACAAAACAUAAAACAUACAAUGCAAACUAUGGUCAGGGCGUGACAAAGGUGUAAAUGUACAUUCAAAGCAUUGGUUUUAAUCUUGCUAUCCACAUUUUGUAUAGUGAGUUGCUGCAUUGUCAU